GAUGAACGCUGGCGGCGUGCUUAACACAUGCAAGUCGAACGAGAAGUGGAGACGGAAACCUUCGGGCGGAAGACUUUACUUCGAGUGGCGGACGGGUGAGUAACGCGUGGGUAACCUGCCUCAUACAGGGGGAUAACAGUUGGAAACGACUGUUAAUACCGCAUAAGACCACAGCACCGCAUGGUGCGGGGGUAAAAACUCCGGUGGUAUGAGAUGGACCCGCGUUCGAUUAGCCAGUUGGCGGGGUAACGGCCCACCAAAGCGACGAUCGAUAGCCGAUCUGAGAGGAUGACCGGCCACAUUGGGACUGAGACCCGGCCCAAACUCCUACGGGAGGCAGCAGUGGGGAAUAUUGCACAAUGGGGGAAACCCUGAUGCAGCGACGCCGCGUGAGUGAAGAAGUAUUUCGGUAUGUAGAGCUCUAUCAGCAGGGAAGAAAAUGACAGUACCUGAGUAAGAAGCCCCGGCUAACUACGUG
Molecule: ribosomal RNA, 478 nt
Filed under: uncultured bacterium
Lineage: Bacteria
Description: partial 16S ribosomal RNA
Rfam family: Bacterial small subunit ribosomal RNA
Source: RNAcentral